ACUCCUCCAAGAACAUCAUCUCAGACCUUCAAAAGGGAGAACCCAGGCCAUAAAUCGUCAUUCACCCUUCUCUUCUCACCUUUCCUCUCGUCCCUGGACACAUCAGUCUGUUUGUGAGCCCCAAAACUCCUAGUUAGAGACCUCCGAUUAAAAAAAUUUCUUCAUCAAAAUUGUUCGUCUAUGUCUCCUCUAUCUAGCCUCAAAAUUUCAGCUCCAUUGGAGUCGAUUUGAGUCCUGUACACCCAUCAAAGAGGAAGCUGUUCUGAAACAAGCUUGUUCCGGAUUUCUGCUUGAAUUCCCUCUCUAGCUCUACCCGAAUCCCUCACAUCUUACUUGAGACUGAUACAAACACUUGAUGGAGCGAAUUUCUUGACCUGCAACUGGGCUCGAUCCAAUCAGCUCCCUCAGCUCUCUUUUCUAUUGAAACCCUCAAGAGAAACUCAUCUUUUUGGUUAGUCUUUGGCUUGAUAUCGUGGUAGGAUCUUGUGAAGUGGUGGUUGCUACAAGGUUGCAUUGAGGCCAAGUACUGCAAGAGAAAGCUCAAGUUCCAGUUUGUUUUGCAGGCUGUUGUUGUCGAAGCUUGGAUACAGAGGAUAAUCCUUGGAGGCCAAAAUUUGUUUUGUUUAGAGUUUAUUUUAUUUGGCUUGUUUGAUUUCGUUAAUUUUUUGUAACGUUAUGUAUGGUUGAUGAUGUGUGUGUGAUUGCUUACCACCAAAA
Rosa chinensis is the source of this 717-nucleotide long non-coding RNA. RefSeq lists it as uncharacterized. The transcript is spliced from 4 exons. Lineage: Eukaryota; Viridiplantae; Streptophyta; Magnoliopsida; Rosales; Rosaceae. The record is from RefSeq and is a predicted model, not a curated record.